GGACAGGUGGCCUUGGACGGAGGACCGCUUCAGCGGAAAAUGGGCCUCGCGGCGCCUCCAGCCAGCCCCAUCCGUCCUCCAACAAGGCGGCUUCAGCGCAUCCUCCCGGCCCCUCGGAACCCAGGGGAAUUCGACUCCAGCCCCAGCUGCACAGACCGCGCCAGGCGCCCAGACCCAGACCCCGUCUCCUCCCUGGGCUCCGCAUCUGCCCCCCAGCUGCCACCCCAUCCCCUUGCGCCCAGCGCACAGCUCAGCCCUCCUGAUUUGCGCCCCAUCAGCAAGCUUCCUGCCAAACCGCGGGCCCUUUAUGUCGAUUGUCUUGGAGUUGGAGAGGAGGAGGAAGCAGUUGUGCCAAGAAGGACAGGAAUUCCUGAGCGGCCCGUGCACCCCCCAAGGCAGUGCCUUCUCUCUUGCUUCUCUCAGGACUCUGCACAGCACAGAGCCUGCCAGGGCCACACUCUCCCUGAAGCCCCACGCAGAGUGGGGAUCCCACCGCCGUCUGCGGAAACCUGAAGGUCCCCCUCGGUGUCCUUGCAGCCCGAGAAGCCCCCACUCAUGCAAAUGUCCUUCCCCAGUUCGUGCUUAGGAGCCUGGAGACCGGGCCGCCACCUUCUCAUAACCCAGCCAACACCUGUUGGAAGAGAGAGAAAUCGCAGCAAACGGAAGGGGGGCGGGGGGGCUGGAGCCUGACGUGGGGGAGGAGGGGCGAGAAGGAAGAGAAAAUUUCAAGGCCCCAGAAGCUGGUGAAGGGCCGGCUCGGCCGUCAGGCUCUUCCCAAGCAUUCCUGGCAGACUGCGUGUUUCUUCGUCCAAUCAAAUCAUAUUUGCUUUAACCACAAAUAUUUUCCAGUUCAACCUACAUUCCAUCGACGACCAAAAGCCAAAUUGAUGUGGCUGAAUGAAGAUGAGCAAGUCUGGGGAAAAAUAAAAUAAAAAUUUGAAUUCAUGUUUCUGUUUUGACACCAGAAACUGAUAUGCGUGGAGCCUCUGUAGAUGCACGAGGGCCUCAAAAUAGGUGGGAGAGUCUGCAUUUGACAAGUGACAAAGACCGAAGGCCAGGCUCAGUGGUCCCAGAGCGGCCUUCAGAGUGGGCAGGCUCCCGAGGCUCCCGCGGCCUCAGACUCCCGAGCCUGCCGGGCACGUUCCUAGCUGGGCAGCGUUCGCUGCUAACAGGAUUGCAACCAGCAUUCGCAGACUCUGCUCUGAAGUUAAAAUACACCUGCACAAACACUUCUAACAUGUGCUUUCACUUUAGGGUCCCUGAAUUUUCUCAGUGCCUUUGUCAGUUUUUCGAUUGACUUGAAGAGGGGCAGCGCUGCCCAGGCACAGGUGACACGGAGCCUGUGGAUCCGGGGUGGGCCGGGCUCACAGCUCAGCCCGCGGGCCUGGCCAGCAGGUUCCGCUGCUGCCGCUGACACUGGAAAACGGGCUUUGUGCCUGCGAAGAAGGACUGAAGAGGUUUCAUCCUUCAACGAAACAGAGGGAACCAUCAGGAUGAUACAUCCAAUGACUUGCUGAUUCAAGCACUUGUCCAAAUCGCCUUUCAGAAGUGGAUGUAGGGCAUGAUAACGAGUGUUUUAAUGGAGCAGUAACCCAGUCAGAACUGGGUGAACGGAUGUAGGCUUUUGGUCUUCCGAUUAGGAGUUCCCGUGGUUACAUGGCGUUGUUGUAAGUGAGAAGAUGUUUCUCCCCAGAGGGUGGUGAUUGUCUUCGGGAGAGACCUAACAGUGGUUUUUUCUAGAGAGUGUGAUCAAGAUGGCAAAAGCCUGUGUGGUGGAACUGAACCCCUCCUCUCGAGAAUCUGAAGAUCAUUCCAGGAGGGCCGUCACGAGCUCGCAUCCCCAGGGAUCUGAUUCAGACACUAAAAUCCUGCACGCAGAGCAGUUUCACUCACCGAAUGCGGUGGAAAUAGCAGAACAUUUGCAGGUCGAUGAUUCAAAAGACAUGUUGUCCAUUGAGACAGAUCUUCGUCUGAAACAGGUUCUAUCCUUAGAGAUGAUAAACAACCAUGCUUCCUCACGGCUGAGAUUUCACAGACUCAGAAUUUGCUAAUAAACUCGAAGACCAACACAUGGUCGCCAAAGUCAUGUUUUUUACUUUUGCCAAGUAAACUUUAUAAAGAAAUGUACUUCAUCCUCCUUCUCCUCCUCAUUUCUCUCUUUCCCUCCCUUCUAGCCUAACUGAAUUCACAAUCAACACGAAGCUACUGUACGAGAGGCUUGUAAUGUGAGACAUUUUUACCUCUGGUGUUAGCCAGGGAGUAAGCAUCCUGCAGCCCACCUCUCCUCUUCAUUACCAUAAAAACGCUGAUUAAAGCUGGAAAGCAACUAAUUACUAAAGAGCUGUGAGUCAGCCAUAGCUGCUUCAUUAGGGAGAAAAGUCCCAAAUUAAGAAGGCCUGCUGGAUAAGUUUCCUCCGUUAGCUCCUGGCUUUGAGCUGAAGGCUGCGUAGCUCAGGAACUGCACAGCAGACAUGGUGGUACAUUUUUGAGACAAACACCUUCUAUCUAUCUGAGGACCAGAAAGAGGUUUGCCUGCAAGGUGAAGAAUAAGGGAGGGAAUCCCUUUACUUUUCUUUCUUUUUUUAUUAUCUCUUUUGGCUCCUGACCCUGUUCUUUUGGUAGGUCAGGUCCCUGGGCUCUGUGUAGUAAUGACAAUGUGAGAACCCCAAAAAUUAAGAGAAAACAUUUUUCUUCUGGCCAAAGGAAUUAAAUUUGAUAAAAAAGACCCAGGAGUUUAGGAGAAUGAAAAAUCACCUUUAUUUAAUUUUCCUUCUCUUGUCAUUGCUUCACCAAGGAGCCCUUCACAGGAACCUCCAACCCCAAGGGAAGUCAGCAGGAUGCUGGGAGCUGAGAGGGGUCUCAGAGAUGGGAGCCCCCCAAUUCUGUGUAUGAACUGACACACAUCCUAGGCUCCCCUCUAAACUGUACAUGUGAAGAAAAGACCCAAGAUAUCUUAACAAACCACUGCCCUCUGGGCAUUGAAAUAUGACAUACCAACAGCCCGUGUUCUGAGUGAACCCUGAGGCCAAUGUCUGGGACGGUUCCUAGAUGCAGAGUAAAGUGACAUGAUGGUGAAGUUGGAAUCCUGCUCACAAAAGGAAGUCUGUCUCAGCAUGACUAGGUUGACUACCCAUUGAAAGGAAAACAGCAAAUUUUAAUAUUUUCAAGGGGCUUGUAAUGGGAGCCAGAAUUUCAUAAUGUAAUAUUUUUAAAAUGUCCAAGGUACAAUCCAAAAUUAUUUGACAUACAAUGAGCAAGAAAAUUAUGACCAGUACUCAAAGGAGAAGACAAUCAACAGCUGCUGAUCUCACUAUGACCCGACCUUGGAGUUGCCAGAAAAAGACCUAUGGGAAACCACUGUAACUAUGCUUCACUAUAUCAAGGCAAAUACUCUUGACAUGAAUAAGUGAGGUUCUCCACAGAGAAUGGGAUACUAUGGGACAAAAACACCAAGUGAAAAUUUUACAAUGAAGAAAUAUGAUAGAUAAAAUUGAAAAAUACCUGGAUGGGCUUGUUCAUAGAAUGUAGUAGAGGGAAGAGUCAAUGAACUUAAAUGUCAAUCAAUAGGAAUUCUUCGUUCUGAAGCACAGAAAGAAGAAAACAAUUGAAAACAUGAACACAGUGUUAGGAAGCCAUGGAACAAUAUAAAAGGUCUCACAGUCAUGGCCUUGGACUGCCAGAGUGGGGGCAGAAAGCAUGAUGUUUGGAAGCAGAUUCUUUGAAGGGAUAGUGAAUAAUACCUUCCCAAAUAUGGUUCAAGGCAAAAUUUAUAGAUUCACAAAUUCAAUGAACCCUAAACAGAGUAAACUCAGAGAAAACCAGGCCCAGAUGCAUCCUACUUGGAAUGUUGAAAACAAAACAUACAGAAAAAUAUUUGAGAAAGUGAGAAAAAUAAAGUUUUUCACUGGACACAUAUGAACAAAAGUGUUGUCAUUUAAAAAAAUCUUAACUAUUUGCUUUUGCGUAAGACAUUUAAAUCAACAAAGUGGAAAAAAAAAAAGCAUUUUGGCUCUGGAAAAGGAUAUGCAAAACAUGAAGUAAAAUAAAAAUUAGUGGGUAAAUUACCUAAAUAUUUGGAACCUCAAACAAAUAUUUGGUUUGAUUCUGAGGCAAAUAAAUGACUCGUUUGCUUCUUUUUUUUAUCCCCUCUGGCUCAUCAUCUGUGGUGAUGACCAACAAGUAAAAACACUGUAAGGUGAAUGAUUCAGUACAACUGAGGCGGCUGGAGAAAUUGCCUGUUAUAACUUCUGAGAGCCAGAGGAGCUUGGACACUUAUUUAAAUGUCGUAACACCAACUAUUUCAUUCUCUAACUUAUCUGAGAGUAAUGUCAUUUCUCAAUUGAAAUUUGUUGACAUCUUGGGUUGAAAUUAAGGCUUACUGCUUAACUAGCCUGGAAAAGAUGUAUGUAAGAUUUAGGGUUUGCGUGGUCCCACAUACGAUCUCCUGCUGUUCUAGGAGUUUUUAGAUGUCCUAGAAACCUUUAUGGGUCAUACAUAGUGAUGGUGAAAGUCCAGGAAGUUUGGAAGCACAGUCCAUUGUACAUGUGAAAUCAGAACAGAACUGCUGGAUGUGCCGAACAGAGCUGGUAAUCAUAUGGCAUGAGAGUCCCCGCUUGACCAAAGGCAUCUUAUUAGCACAUGUUCUUUACGUCUUUUUGUAAUGCCAGUCUCCAAAUUCCUAAAACUUUGACAGAAGAGGAAAGCCUUAUAAAGAUGAAACAUGUGUAGACACUGAUAGACAACGUGGCCGUGGAGAGCCGUCGGUGGGGACGCGGACGCGCUGGAGUCAGUCUCAGUCGGGUCUUCGUUCACAGCGGAGUCUGUGUGACACCUUGACUUCUAGGACCCACCUGCUCCUUCGGUCGUGAUGUGGAAGAGCACUGUUGACCUCUAACGCAUGGAAAUCCAACAGAAAUGAAGCAAGUUAAAGCAAUGGUUUAAUCUCAUCGAAGAAGAAAGAGCAGGUGAUUUAUGAUGCACUAAAUACAGGCCGAGCAGAGAAAGAAAACUACUUGUUACCAAAAUGCAGUUGGUAUAUGUCUUAAUGACAUCAGCCUGAAAAAUAAUUCUUCAUAGCCAUAGGGAUGCCCAGAACUAAUAUGUGGGCAAUAACUCACUUCCCUGUGCCACUCCUGAGAAGCGGCAGCUAUGAAUCAAGGAAUAAGUGAGACUCUUCACUCAGAAGUCUACGUCGGAGACGGGCCCGGAGAAGCAGAGCAGAUCCCCCAGCUGUGGGAGGACUUCCAGGCCAGGACCCAGGGCCGUCAGAGACGCCCGUAUUCUGGGAGAGUUACAGAGGUUAUUUUGCAUAGGUCACCAGGCAAAGCAUUAUGUCACAAAUUUGCUUCCUAGGAGAUUAAUAAUACAAGCGGCAUCUGCAGCUGCUGAGAGGGUGCAGCUGAAGCCCGAUGAAGCUCGCGUUCCAACUGCAGCUCACCCCCCAGGGUUCUCCGCUCCCUCCACGCCGGCUCCCUCGCUGAGUCGGUGCCUGCACCGUGGGUCUCAGAAAAGCAUCACCAGAGGCACGGAACAGUGUGACUCAGCUCUAAACCUGAGUCAGAGUCCUGCUUUCCAACAGAGGCUUCUGAAAACCGUGCGAGGGCAAUGACCUUGAAAUCCCAAGAUGUGCAUUUGGAGACUCCAGCAGAGUCCGGGGUUGAAGCUCCCCAUAGGGUGUAGGUUAUGCCUUUAAGCAAAGCCGGGCUGUCCUGCUCUCCCACCCCUGACGAGUCUUCCCAGACGGAGGAGGACGGGUCUGGGGCAGGGAAAGGGCUCAGACCAGCACGAGUCCCUGAGCAGUGGCCCUGUCUGCUCUGUCCUGGUUCCCACCCCCACAUCCUCUAAAUAGUCGAGCCCCAAUAUUGAGCGUGGUUGGCAGACUGUCUAAGAGAUUGACAGUGGGUGAGCAUGAGUGACAGAAACCAUCUAUGCUAUUGCGGGCAGGCGACAGAACCUCCAAGGACAGGACAGGGACCCAAAGGCCAAGCCGUGGAAGAGACCUGUCCCCUUGGUGCCUUGGCCCCAGCACAGACUUGGCAGCAGGAGGUCUAGGCGGGUGAGCUGAGAUGAUCCCACUGCAGGGAGUCUGGGUCCCAAGCUUCCUCGGGCCUCAGAGAGAGGUGCCGGGCAGGCAGCCGCCCAUGACGCCCUGUGACAGGCGGGUGGGCCUGGUCACAGUGGCCCCAGGACAUUCUUGCAGCUUUGGCAGACGUGGAGGUGAUUAACAAGGACCAGACUGCACCCUCCGCUCAGUGCCCACCCCCGACCCAGGACAGUAGCAAAGCAGCCACCUCUUCCCCUGCAGACACACGGGAGCUCAUGCAAGUCCCCUUGGGACCUACAGACCACGCCCUGGGGGCGGCUGGAACCAGUCUCUGCAUCAGCCAAGUGCAAAACGGGAAUGGCUCGGGGCUCAGUGACGCGGUGGUUUUCACUUGGAAGGGGGUAGGUUGGAUUUUCCACCACAGGAGAUACUGUGACUCAAUUGAAAAUCAAACCCAGAUUUAAGAGAAAAUAAAGUUCCCCUUUCCAAACCAACCGGACUCCGCUUCAGCUACAUCUGAUGCCUGUGGCUGUCCCCACGUGGCCCACUCCAGGGGGGCUUCUUUAGUGUACGUGGGGCCACCAGGAAAAGCAUGAGGCGGUCUCAGCAUGGCUCCCAUUGGAGGAACUAGGAAACCCCUAGAAUCCCAGCGUCUGUUCCUGAGUUUGCCCUUCUUGACUAAGGGCGUCAGCCACACGUGGGCCGGGAGGGCCGCUGGCUUCCACGAAGUCUGUGUAUGUGAGCAACGAACAGGUGAGAAGAGGCUGGGGAAGACUCACCCGCUUCUUAAGAUGGUUAUCUACUAAAUAAAGUUUAAACUCCUAAACAGAGAAUUCAAGGUUUUCUAAGAGAAAGAUACUUCCUGCAGGCUCUGGCCAGACUACCCUUGCUCAUCCAGUCUAAAUAGGACACCUGUCCUCCCGGAAUAUGCCAGUUUACUGCUGUGCUAUUUCAUCUUUCCCCAAAUUGCCUUGCUCUGUAACUAUUGCCUCACUCACUUAUUUUAAAGAAUCAGCUUAAACAUCUGUUGAAUCUUUACUCUUGGCUGAAAGUCAUUCUUUAAUCUCUUAGAGGUCAAAGUAUGUAUUCCUUUUGACAAUUCAUUACAGUUACUAAAGCUAAAUUCAAAAUUUAACUAUCUUGGGGAGCUCUCAUUGUGGCUCAGCGGAUAACGAAUCUGACUAGCACCUGUGAGGAUGCAGGUUCGAUCCCUGGCCU
This 7261-nucleotide long non-coding RNA is filed under the name Sus scrofa (pig). RNAcentral describes it as "lncRNA (ENSSSCG00060024290.1)". Lineage: Eukaryota; Metazoa; Chordata; Mammalia; Artiodactyla; Suidae. The record is from RNAcentral.